GAAGUGGUCGGAGCUAAGUAGGCUUCUGCGGAUCAUCCGAUUCCGGAGCAACAUUUACCUGUUAUUCCUGAGUAAAUUGAGGAUCCAAGUAAGGUCGUGGUCCCUGCGAAAAGCGUCACCGUUACCUCCUGCUUCUCACGACUUCCGGGAUCCUGGUUUUCCUUCCAACAUUUUCAAUAUAUCAUGCCCAUCCUCUUCCGGCCUGCAAAGUUUCUGCUGCAAUCAGCUCAUGGCCUUAUGGGAGUUCCUUUGCAUCAGCACUUAAGGAUUCUUCUAGAACAAUGGGAUGAAGACAGAGCAGCAGGAGAACUAGUAAUACUGGUGGCGAUUAUGGAAAUAAUGCAUUAGAGGAUCCCAGCAGGAGAAAGGGACCAGGACCGCACCCGAGGCAUCUGGAAGUUCCCAGCCCUGGAGUCCAAUCAGAGCUACAGCUGUUGACCUACUGCACAGCUCACAGCAAGGCCGGAUCCCUGACCCAUUGAGCAAGGCCAGGGAUGGAACUGCAUCCUCAUGGAUAGUAGUCUGAUUCAUUCCUCUGCGCCACAGUGAGAAAUCCAUCAUGGUCUUUAUAGAAAAGUUUUAUUUCUUCAUUAAUUUAGGAACAUUCACACACUACAAAGGUUUAGAGACUAAACUUUAGGGCCACCUCUUUUCUUCAAGGAGCUCAUAUUCCAAUGUUGAUAAACUUUGAAUAUGAUAAAUGGCUUUAAAAAUCUACUGAUAGAGAUGCAGUGAUUUGUUAAGAAUAGAAGAUAAUUUUACACUCACUGAAUCAGGGUUGGCCUCACCCAGAAAUGGAGUUUGAAGAACAGCUGGGGCAGGGGCAGAGUUUGAACUUGGGGAGUUAAAGAAGGGGAAACACUCCAGCACAGAGGCCAGGAAUGAGUUCAGCCCGGCAGUUAGUACCAGGAAGUCAAGCCAAAAAUGUGCACUGGAGCCUGAUGAGAGUAAUUCUUAAAUCCUAAAUAAUAAAUAAAAGCUUCAUGUCAUUUCUUUGAGCAAAAUUUAUGGAGUGCCUGCUAUAUUGCAGGCAGUUUUAUCAGCUAAUGAUACCAAGAUAAAUAAACUCAACCCACUGCUGAGAAUCUGGCUAAGCUAUUCCACAGUACCACUGCUAGGUAUGCAUUCUGUGUGGUUGGGUGGCCUUCAUGGGGCCUUGAACUGACACCAGCCCCUCAUGGGAAGGAAGAGCAUGCCCAGGGUCAGGUCACACACAAAUGGACAAAUGGACAUUCUAACGUUACCCCCAGAAGCCUUGUGACCAGGAAUCUCCUUCUUCUGUUUUUUUUUUUUUAAUUUUUAUUUAUUUAUUCAUUCAUUCAUUUAUGUAUUUAUUACUUUUUUUUUUUGCUUUUUAGGGCCGCACUUGUGGCAUAUGGAAAUUCCCAGGAUAGGGGUUGAAUCAGGGCCACAGCUGCCGGCCUGUACCACAGCAAUGGGGGAUCCUAGCCAUGUCUGUAACCUAUACUACAGCUCACCACAAAGCCGGAUCCCUGAUCCACUGAGCUAGGCCAGGGAUCAAACCUGCAUUCUCAUGGAUACUAGUUGGAUUCGUUUCUGCUGCACCACAACAGGAACUCCUGGUACUGCUUUUUUAUAAACAGGAUCAUCAGGGAAGUCCUUCCUGAUGACAUCUGUGGUACUGGAGCCCAGAGCUGAGUUACAGGAAUGGCUGUGCAGAAGCCAUGGCAGGGAUGAGCCAUGACACUAUGGCCAUGGGCUCCAGGAACCUGCAAGGCAGCUGGAUGCCUGCACAGGUCCUGAAAAGAAGAAAAGUGAUUUACUCCAGAGGUGGUCAGAAGGGAGGACAGUAGCACUCAAACCAAGGAAAAUUAAUUCCAUGAUCUGACUCCCAGAGACAGCUGAUGUGUUGACAGAAUUUAAGAAGGAGGUCACUAGGGACCUUUCCCAGAAUUCAGGGGGGAGCAGGGUGUUAAAAAUAGAUGGGAGGAGGAGUUCCCGGUGUGACUCAGUGGGUUACAAACCUGACUAGUAUCCAUGAGGACUUGAGUUCAAUCCCUGGCCUUGCUCAGUGGGUUGAGGAUUCCACAUUGCUGAGGCUGUGGUGUAGGCUGGCAGCUCUAGCUCCGAUUAGACCCUUAGCCUGGGAACUUCCAUAUGUCGCAGGCUCUGCCCUAAAAUGCCAAAAAUAAAUAAAUAAAAAGGGGAAAAAAAACAAAAAUAGAUGGGAAGAAAGGAAACAGCCACUUUUUCAAGAAAUGUGGCUGUGUGGGGAAGGACAUGGCUGGUCACCAGAGAGCACUAUGGGGUCAAGGGUCUAACUCUUUUCUUUUUUAAAACGUGAACUACAUCUGUUUUGAUAUACUGAUUGUGAGGAAGAAAGGGAGUAGUAAUUGGAUCAAGGUUCCAGAGGCGUGGAGACGUUAGCAAUACCCACGGGAAGACUCUCUUAAUGAAAGACUAGGGAGGGAAAAUAGAAGUGCUGCUGACAUGGAUGUUUGCAAUUGAAGGGCAGGGUCUGAUUUUGAAGCUUGAUCAUCUCCAUUUUCUCUGGGAAGAGGAAUUCUCUCUUGCUAUGAGUUUGGAUAAUGAGGUUUAAAAGUUUAAGGAAACUGGAAGUCAUUAAAGGUUUGAAGUCUAGCUGCCUGGGAAUGAGAGUUGCCUCAAAGUAGGAAGAGUCUUUCGCAGACAGCCCUGCUGUCACUGAGAGGAAAGGCUCUCCUCUAGUGGAAAUGCUGUGCUGAAGGCAGACGUAGCUUUCCCUUAAGCCAAGGGGGCAGAUGAAGUGAGGAGGACACGGUGCUAGGACAGAAUCCAGGGCACUAGGACAGAGCAGAAAAGGUGUGCAGGCAGGAGGGUGGAGGUUUUGAUCAGAGGGCUCAGAAGCCCCUGACUUUAAGGGAGUAAGAAUAAGGCAGAAAAUAGAGAAGUAGAAGCUCAUUUGAAUGAGAAUCAAGAAUGAUGAGGGUAUUAGCUGGUCUCAAUUUAAAUUACUGUAUUAAAAGGUACCUUUACCGGAUUGUCCGGAGUGUCCGCUGUGGCUCAUGAGGAUGCGGGUUUGAUCCCUGGCCUCAUUCAGUGGGUUAGGGGAUUCAGCAUUGCCUGUACGUCACAGACACACAUGUGGCUUGGAUCCCACGUUGCUGUGGCUGUGGUGUAGGCCGGCAGCUGGAGCUCCAAUUUGCCCCCUACCCUGGGAACUUCCAUAUACCGCAGGUACAAAAAAAAAAAAAAAAAAAAAAAAAAAGUACCUUCAGCAAAAACAUUUCCAUUGCCAUUAUUUUUGGGAAAGGAAAGUGGGCAAAGGGACGAGGGAGGGGGGUGGAGGGAUACUUCAGACUUCACAUUCUUCCAGACUGUCAGGGAAGAUGUCAUGCCAUGAACAUAUACUAUAAUGACUAUUAAAAAGCUGGAAAGAGGAGUUCCCAACUUGGCACAUCGGAAACGAAUCCAACUAGGAAUGAUGAGGUUUAAGCUUCCAUCUCUGGCCUCCAUCAGUGGGUUAAGGAAUUGGCGUUGCCAGGAGCCGUGGUGUAGGUCACAGACAGCUCAGACCGGGUGUGGCUGUGGCUGUGGCUGUGGCAUAAGCCAGCAGCUACGACUCUGAUUAGACCCCUAGCCUGGGAACCUCCAUAGGCCAUGGGUACAGCCCUAAAAAGACAAACGACAGAAAAAAAAAA
RNAcentral lists this long non-coding RNA (3641 nucleotides) under Sus scrofa (pig). RNAcentral's name for it is "lncRNA (ENSSSCG00005026914.1)". Lineage: Eukaryota; Metazoa; Chordata; Mammalia; Artiodactyla; Suidae. The record is from RNAcentral.